RNAcentral lists this long non-coding RNA (576 nucleotides) under Macaca mulatta (Rhesus monkey). RNAcentral's name for it is "lncRNA (ENSMMUG00000059817.1)". Lineage: Eukaryota; Metazoa; Chordata; Mammalia; Primates; Cercopithecidae. The record is from RNAcentral.
AAAUUCUGGAAUGUCUGCAUUUCAGGAAAUGAACGAUUACUAGAUUGAAGGAAGCUGUUCUAAUUCAGCAGUAACUGCAGAGGUUCUUAAACUUAAGGGUGCAUUAUUAGAAUCACCUCUAGGACUUAUAUAAAUACAGGUUGUUGGGCCCCACCUCUAGAGUUUCUGAUUCAGUAGGUGUGGGGAGGGGCCCCAGAAUUUUCAUUUCUUAAAAAUCCCCAGGUGACAUGGAUGCUGCUGGGCUGGGAUACACAUUUUGAGAACCAUUGAUUUUCUUAAAAAUCCCUAGGUGACAUGGAUGCUGCUGGACUGGGAUACACAUUUUGAGAACCACUGAUUUACUAUGAAUUAUAUUUGGAGCUAAGCUGACUCUCUUGAGAACAAAGCUGCUGAAUGAAGGAAGAGAUGAUAACGCCCUCUUUGGCACCCAGCUCUUUCUGGGAGGCACAUCCUCACCCAGUUGGAAGGGAAUGAAGACUGUCGCAUCUGUCAGACCUCUGGACAUAGCCCUGUGGCACAAAGAGAUGUCUCUUUAGGCAAAAUCAGGCACCAUGUGAAUUUGAUUUCUGUUCCUAG